AAAAUAAUCUCCUCGCAACAAAGCAUCACAUUUGUGUUGUGCGCAAACGGCAAACAGACUUCCGGCCUGCUUCCGGGGACCGGGCGUCGCGUCAUGGCGAGGAGGAGACACCUAACAGCCACGCCGACGCUGGUGCUCGUCAGCCUUCUCCUAAUGGCCGACCUGGCGACCACCGUCAGCUGCUACGGCCGAAGAGUUGCAGCAGAACCGCAUGUCUCAGAAGUCAGCGACAGCGGAGGCGGUGGCUCGCCGUCGCCGUCGCCGCCGGCCAGAGGCUGCUUCUUGUCUAAGACCGACCAGCAGCAAGAUUCUUCGGCGGCAGGGCGACACCUUCUUGGCGACUGUUGCAAGCACAUGCUUGGUGUGGGUGUGUCGUCCAAGAGGCUGGUGCCCCAGGGGCCGAAUCCUCUGCAUAACUGACCUGGGUCAUGUAAAAUAGCAGUACUGGUGUAGGCUUAGAGCUUCGUUUGCUUGCUGCUAGUUGGCUUAUACGGUCUCUCACGCUUUUGUUGAGGGCUACUCUUCGUCAGCCGGCCGGAGACUAAAACUUUGUGGUAAUGGACGAUCGAGUGCAGAACUCUUGUAG
Zea mays is the source of this 586-nucleotide long non-coding RNA. RefSeq lists it as uncharacterized. Lineage: Eukaryota; Viridiplantae; Streptophyta; Magnoliopsida; Poales; Poaceae. The record is from RefSeq and is a predicted model, not a curated record. The transcript has 2 exons.